Molecule: unclassified non-coding RNA, 459 nt
Filed under: Hevea brasiliensis (rubber tree)
Lineage: Eukaryota; Viridiplantae; Streptophyta; Magnoliopsida; Malpighiales; Euphorbiaceae
Source: RNAcentral
GUUUCUUCAGCGGCCUUAGCAGCUUUUCGUGAUUCGGAUAUUCUUUUUGCUGCAGCAAGAACCUCUGCAUCCCUACGCUCCUGAUGCUUUGUUUGUGAGAGCACCAUCGACAGUGCACGUUUUCGCUCAACCUCUUGUGAAGCAUUGUAAGGCUUAACAAGGGGAUGUCCAGCAACAUCGGCAGGAGAUGGAGCCCUAGCAAUUGUAAUAGCACGAGACACACUGUAAUAACGGUCCUUCAAUUCCUCAAUUGUACGAUUUGAAGGGAACCUAUCAGCUAUGAUAACAAAACGGAGAUCAAACCUCUUGCACAGGUCAAAUAAUUGAUCCGUCUCUUCCUUCGUCCAUGAAGGAUUGGACAAGAACUUCUCAUACUCCUCAUCUGUGUACUCGAUCACAUCCACCGACUUAUUAUACUUUGCAAACGAAUAGUCACCUGUAGGCGGAACACCAUUAACA